This 86-nucleotide transfer RNA is filed under the name Candidatus Scalindua rubra. It matches the Rfam family "tRNA". From Rfam's summary of the family: Transfer RNA (tRNA) molecules are approximately 80 nucleotides in length. The record is from Rfam by way of RNAcentral. Lineage: Bacteria; Pseudomonadati; Planctomycetota; Candidatus Brocadiia; Candidatus Brocadiales; Candidatus Scalinduaceae.
GCGGAAGUGGCGGAAUUGGCAGACGCGCUAGGUUGAGGGCCUAGUCCUCAUGAUAGGGGGUGGGGGUUCAAAUCCCCCCUUCCGCA